AUCAUCAACCACAAGCCCAUAACUUUGUCUUAAUGAAUCUUAAUGGUCCCAUUGUGCCUUUAUCUAAAAUGUUCCCCAUUACAACGGUUGUAUUGCAGCAUCUACACUACUUCCACACUCGGUGUUCACUUGUCUUCCCAUGGUAAUUCUCUCAGUUCCAAUUACAAAACCAUUCUACUAGAAUUCCUUAAAUCCGACUUACUUGCUCUUCUCCUCAACCAAAUCUCCUACAACCAAAACUCACCAGAGCU
RNAcentral lists this long non-coding RNA (251 nucleotides) under Lathyrus oleraceus (garden pea). Its description in RNAcentral is "Pisum sativum (pea) long non-coding RNA (PSAT_LNC002294)". Lineage: Eukaryota; Viridiplantae; Streptophyta; Magnoliopsida; Fabales; Fabaceae. The record is from RNAcentral.